Molecule: long non-coding RNA, 671 nt
Organism: Metopolophium dirhodum (rose-grain aphid)
Lineage: Eukaryota; Metazoa; Arthropoda; Insecta; Hemiptera; Aphididae
Exons: 3
Source: RefSeq, a predicted model, not a curated record
UUCAAUUACUAUUUUAUAUCAAUUAGAAUUUGUUAAUAAACCAAGUAAUAAAUGAAUGGUUACCAAGUAAAAAAACCGUUAUCUACAUUAUAAGUUUGAAUUCAAUUUUCCGCAUUUGCAUCUAGUAGAAACAAAUAAAUGUUUUUUUGAAGACAAUGUAAAAAUAUCCAUCAUCCAUCGGUUAGGACCAUAUUAUAUAUAUUUUCUAUGAUUAGGACGGUGAGGUUAUAAUUAUAAAUAAUCUAUGGCAAAUGACAAUCGUCUGAGACGAACAGCGAUUUCAAUACGUACUCACAUAUUUCGUUCCAUUCUGGUUAUUGAACUAUUUGAACUAGGUGCCUAUUGGCUAUUUUUAUAAAUGCCAUUAAUCUCAAUACUUCCAGACUGAACUUUUGGAUCGGAUAUUAUAUGAAGACGCGCGCUGCAUUUUCCUUGGCGGAGAUGCACAGCUCUGACACUAGACAAUAUUAUAUACACUCGAAGGGAACGCGUUUCGCCGGAAGAAUAAAUAAUUACUGAACAAAAAAAUAAUAUGCCACCAAUAUAAACGGACAGUUUGUUAAACCGUACAUAUUAUAAUUUUCAGCUCAUCGGAGUGAGAUGAUUAGAUAAAGAUGGAUGAAGAUAGCUGUUUCUUCGGCGAUGGCGGCACUCUAGCUACGUUUCACCAG